RNAcentral lists this long non-coding RNA (363 nucleotides) under Ganoderma lucidum. RNAcentral's name for it is "long non-coding RNA (GLUC_LNC000016)". The record is from RNAcentral. Lineage: Eukaryota; Fungi; Basidiomycota; Agaricomycetes; Polyporales; Polyporaceae.
GCAUGAGGAAGGAGAAGCUCUCAGCGUCGGUGUCCUCGCCGCCGUUGCGGCUCUUCCCCUUCUUCGCCUUCUUGUCCUUGUUCCGCUGGGGGCGGUAGACGUAGUUGGGGUACAUCGCUUCGUGCUCCUUCUUCUUCUCCUUCGCGAGGUCCUCCCAGUAUUGCCUCUCCUCCGACGAGAGGCCCUUCCACUGCUGGGAGAUCGUCUUCGAGAGGUCCGCCUGGCGCUGCUUCUUGACCGGGCCGGACGAACCGUCGUCCUCCUCCUGCGCCGCCUGGCGCUCCUCGCACUUCUUCCGUCUGAAGAGAAUGAACGCAUUCUCUGGCCGCUUGAUGUAGUCGUCGUCGCCCUUCUUAGGCCGCC